UUCCACGUUUUCCGCGCCGUAGCUAACGCAUUAAGUGCCCCGCCUGGGGAGUACGGCCGCAAGGCUAAAACUCAAAGGAAUUGACGGGGGCCCGCACAAGCGGCGGAGCAUGCGGAUUAAUUCGAUGCAACGCGAAGAACCUUACCAAGGCUUGACAUUCACCGGACCGCCCCAGAGAUGGGGUUUCCCUUCGGGGCUGGUGGACAGGUGGUGCAUGGUUGUCGUCAGCUCGUGUCGUGAGAUGUUGGGUUAAGUCCCGCAACGAGCGCAACCCUCGUUCUAUGUUGCCAGCACGUGAUGGUGGGGACUCAUAGGAGACUGCCGGGGUCAACUCGGAGGAAGGUGGGGAUGACGUCAAAUCAUCAUGCCCCUUAUGUCUUGGGCUUCACGCAUGCUACAAUGGCCGGUACAAAGGGUUGCGAUACUGUGAGGUGGAGCUAAUCCCAAAAAGCCGGUCUCAGUUCGGAUUGAGGUCUGCAACUCGACCUCAUGAAGUCGGAGUCGCUAGUAAUCGCAGAUCAGCAACGCUGCGGUGAAUACGUUCCCGGGCCUUGUACACACCGCCCGUCAAGUCACGAAAGUUGGUAACACCCGAAGCCGGUGGCCUAACCCCUUGUGGGAGGGAGCCGUCGAAGGUGGGACUGGCGAUUGGGACUAAGUCG
This 662-nucleotide ribosomal RNA is filed under the name Kocuria sp. RNAcentral describes it as "bacterial SSU rRNA". It matches the Rfam family "Bacterial small subunit ribosomal RNA", at positions 830 to 1488 of the family's 1533-position model. The record is from RNAcentral. Lineage: Bacteria; Bacillati; Actinomycetota; Actinomycetes; Micrococcales; Micrococcaceae.